CCUACGGGUGGCAGCAGUGAGGAAUAUUGGUCAAUGGGCGGGAGCCUGAACCAGCCAAGCCGCGUGAGGGAAGAAGGUACAGCGUAUCGUAAACCUCUUUUGUCAGGGAACAAAGGCGGGGACUAGUCCCCGGAUGAGGGUACCUGAAGAAAAAGCAUCGGCUAACUCCGUGCCAGCAGCCGCGGUAAUACGGAGGAUGCGAGCGUUAUCCGGAUUUAUUGGGUUUAAAGGGUGCGCAGGCGGGAGAUCAAGUCAGCGGUAAAAUGUCGGGGCUCAACCCCGGCCGGCCGUUGAAACUGGUUUUCUAGAGUUGGAGAGAAGUAUGCGGAAUUCGUGGUGUAGCGGUGAAAUGCAUAGAUAUCACGAAGAACUCCGAUUGCGAAGGCAGCAUACCGGCUCCAUACUGACGCUGAGGCACGAAAGCGUGGGGAUCGAACAGGAUUAGAUACCCGGGUAGUC
RNAcentral lists this ribosomal RNA (459 nucleotides) under uncultured bacterium. RNAcentral's name for it is "partial 16S ribosomal RNA". It matches the Rfam family "Bacterial small subunit ribosomal RNA", at positions 338 to 795 of the family's 1533-position model. The record is from RNAcentral.